Molecule: ribosomal RNA, 447 nt
Filed under: uncultured bacterium
Lineage: Bacteria
Description: partial 16S ribosomal RNA
Rfam family: Bacterial small subunit ribosomal RNA
Source: RNAcentral
AACGAACGCUGGCAGCAGGCUUAACACAUGCAAGUCGAGCGCCCCGCAAGGGGAGCGGCAGACGGGUGAGUAACGCGUGGGAACGUGCCCUUUGCUACGGAAUAGCUCCGGGAAACUGGAAUUAAUACCGUAUGAGCCCUACGGGGGAAAGAUUUAUCGGCAAAGGAUCGGCCCGCGUUGGAUUAGCUAGUUGGUGGGGUAAAGGCCUACCAAGGCGACGAUCCAUAGCUGGUCUGAGAGGAUGAUCAGCCACAUUGGGACUGAGACACGGCCCAAACUCCUACGGGAGGCAGCAGUGAGGAAUAUUGGACAAUGGGGGCAACCCUGAUCCAGCCAUGCCGCGUGAGUGACGAAGGCCUUCGGGUUGUAAAGCUCUUUCAAUUGUGAAGAUAAUGACGGUAGCAAUAGAAGAAGCUCCGGCUAAACUCGUGCCAGCAGCCGCCGUAA